RNAcentral lists this transfer RNA (73 nucleotides) under Acidimicrobiia bacterium. It matches the Rfam family "tRNA". From Rfam's summary of the family: Transfer RNA (tRNA) molecules are approximately 80 nucleotides in length. Their secondary structure includes four short double-helical elements and three loops (D, anti-codon, and T loops). Further hydrogen bonds mediate the characteristic L-shaped molecular structure. tRNAs have two regions of fundamental functional importance: the anti-codon, which is responsible for specific mRNA codon recognition, and the 3' end, to which the tRNAs corresponding amino acid is attached (by aminoacyl-tRNA synthetases). tRNAs cope with the degeneracy of the genetic code in two manners: having more than one tRNA (with a specific anti-codon) for a particular amino acid; and 'wobble' base-pairing, i.e. permitting non-standard base-pairing at the 3rd anti-codon position. RNAcentral also lists the same sequence under 1 other name. Lineage: Bacteria; Bacillati; Actinomycetota; Acidimicrobiia. The record is from Rfam by way of RNAcentral.
UCCGGGGUAGCUCAAUUGGCAGAGCAGCGGACUGUUAAUCCGUUGGUUGUGAGUUCGAGUCUCACCCCCGGAG